GAAAAAAAAACUAAAAAAAAAAAAAUGUGACAUUAAAAAAAUACAUUUGGGGGAAAUAGUGAAAUGCAACAUCUGUCCUCCCCAGACUUUGGCAUUUUUCGUGCAUUAUCCUCUUUUCUGCCAAACCGUACAGUUUUUAGAGAAAUAUCGU
This 151-nucleotide non-coding RNA is filed under the name Heterosigma akashiwo. Lineage: Eukaryota; Raphidophyceae; Chattonellales; Chattonellaceae. The record is from RNAcentral.